UAAGUCUGUGAAGAAAUGCAGUAAC
RNAcentral lists this non-coding RNA (25 nucleotides) under Drosophila melanogaster (fruit fly). Lineage: Eukaryota; Metazoa; Arthropoda; Insecta; Diptera; Drosophilidae. The record is from RNAcentral.